GGACCCCACUGCUAUCGAGAUGGGACUAAGGUAUGCUAGUCGAACGAACUGAACUAUGUCAGUUAGUGGCACACUGCUCAGUAACACGUAGCUAACCUACCCUUAGGACGUGGAUACCCCCGAGAAAUUGGGGUUAAUCCGCGAUAGGUGUAAUGUCCUGGAAUGGUAUUACGCCUAAAGGUAAUUCAUACAUGUUUGAAUUAUGCCUAAGGAUGGGGCUGCGGCCGAUCAGGCAGUUGGUGAGGUAAUGGCUCACCAAACCUUUGACCGGUACGGGCCAUGAGAGUGGUAGCCCGGAGAUGGACACUGAGACAAGGGUCCAGGCCCUAAGGGGCGCAGCAACCGCGAAACCUCCACAAUGCACU
Molecule: ribosomal RNA, 365 nt
Filed under: uncultured archaeon
Lineage: Archaea
Description: bacterial SSU rRNA
Rfam family: Archaeal small subunit ribosomal RNA
Source: RNAcentral